GUUGGUUCUCCAACAAAUGUUAAGGUCACACCAACUCAGGGACAGGUAAGCUUCGUACGGUUGAACCUCAUUGCCUAACAAAGGUGAUUUGCAGCAUUAACUGCAUAUUGGCUUCCCCUAAGAUCAAGAAGAAGUUAGUUUCAAAAAAACAAGGAAAUGUCAAUGCAGACCGUUUAGUUUCCCGCAAAUAGUGAAUUUUGGUGAUUGUGUAGAGGUGUGGACCAUGCAUCAUUGAUUAAUUUUUCCAAUUAAUCAAACAUUGUUUACUUUGCUCGCACAUUUAAACCUGCUUUUGUGCUUGUGUCGACAAUCAGGAUGAUAUUUGGACGCUUGUGUUAACCUGCUUUUACAAUAAGUUUUUUUCUAUCCUAGUAUUUUUUUAAAUUUUUAUUGCUCUUUUUAUUAAAGUACAUGCAAUAUAAU
Non-coding RNA from Cicer arietinum (chickpea), 423 nucleotides. NCBI's taxonomy places the organism in Eukaryota, Viridiplantae, Streptophyta, Magnoliopsida, Fabales, Fabaceae. The record is from RefSeq and is a predicted model, not a curated record.